This 843-nucleotide ribosomal RNA is filed under the name bacterium enrichment culture clone 1.8. Its description in RNAcentral is "bacterial SSU rRNA". It matches the Rfam family "Bacterial small subunit ribosomal RNA", at positions 11 to 848 of the family's 1533-position model. The record is from RNAcentral.
GUUUGAUCCUGGCUCAGAUUGAACGCUGGCGGAAUGCUUUACACAUGCAAGUCGAACGGCAGCACGGACUUCGGUCUGGUGGCGAGUGGCGAACGGGUGAGUAAUACAUCGGAACGCGUCCUGUAAUGGGGGAUAACCUGGCGAAAGCCAGGCUAAUACCGCAUACGUCCUGAGGGAGAAAGCGGGGGAUCGCAAGACCUCGCGUUAUAGGAGCGGCCGAUGUCGGAUUAGCUAGUUGGUGGGGUAAAGGCCUACCAAGGCGACGAUCCGUAGCUGGUUUGAGAGAACGACCAGCCACACUGGGACUGAGACACGGCCCAGACUCCUACGGGAGGCAGCAGUGGGGAAUUUUGGACAAUGGGGGCAACCCUGAUCCAGCCAUUCCGCGUGAGUGAAGAAGGCCUUCGGGUUGUAAAGCUCUUUCGGCCGGGAAGAAAUCGUGCGGGCCAAUACCCUGUAUGGAUGACGGUACCGGAAGAAGAAGCACCGGCUAACUACGUGCCAGCAGCCGCGGUAAUACGUAGGGUGCGAGCGUUAAUCGGAAUUACUGGGCGUAAAGGGUGCGCAGGCGGUUUUGUAAGACAGGUGUGAAAUCCCCGGGCUUAACCUGGGAACUGCGCUUGUGACUGCAAGACUUGAGUGCGGCAGAGGGGGGUGGAAUUCCACGUGUAGCAGUGAAAUGCGUAGAGAUGUGGAGGAACACCGAUGGCGAAGGCAGCCCCCUGGGUCGACACUGACGCUCAUGCACGAAAGCGUGGGGAGCAAACAGGAUUAGAUACCCUGCUAGUCCACGCCCUAAACGAUGCGAACUAUGUGUCGGGGAAGGAGACUUCUUUAGUACUG